GAAAUGCGAUAAUUAAUGUGAAUUGCAGAAUUCAGUGAAUCAUCGAGUCUUUGAACGCACAUUGCGCCCCCUGGUAUGCCGGGGGGCAUGCCUGUCCGAGCGUCAUUGCUGCCCUCAAGCACGGCUUGUGUGUUGGGCUUCCGUCCCUGGCAACGGGGACGGGCCCAAAAGGCAGUGGCGGCACCAUGUCUGGUCCUCGAGCGUAUGGGGCUUUGUCACCCGCUCCCGUAGGUCCAGCUGGCAGCUAGCCUCGCAACCAAUCUUUUUAACCAGGUUGACCUCGGAUCAGGUAGAGAUACCCGCUGAACUUAGGC
Molecule: unclassified non-coding RNA, 314 nt
Filed under: plant metagenome
Description: partial contains 5.8S ribosomal RNA, internal transcribed spacer 2, and large subunit ribosomal RNA
Rfam family: 5.8S ribosomal RNA (bases 1-105)
Source: RNAcentral